RNAcentral lists this long non-coding RNA (1065 nucleotides) under Carassius auratus (goldfish). RNAcentral's name for it is "lncRNA (ENSCARG00000005270.1)". Lineage: Eukaryota; Metazoa; Chordata; Actinopteri; Cypriniformes; Cyprinidae. The record is from RNAcentral.
UAGAAUUCCUAGCACGUCACUGUUGUAGUGAGGAUGAGGAGUGCCAGAUGAUGUGUGAAGAAACCUUUUGGAAUCUGUUGGACAACAGGUGGAUGGUUUGUGAUUUUAUCUUCUUUUGACCAUCAUGAUGGUUGAGUGAAGGUGAGACAGAGUUGCUAUGCUGGAAACUGACUUUGGUAUGCGUCUCUUUUAUCUGGGGCACGGAGUGCUGAUCUGCGUCUGACCAGUAGUUACUAUGAGCUGUGUGUGGCCUGUGUGGUAAUUUCAACGGUAACGGUGGAGAUGAGCUGAGAGACCCUGCUGGAAACCUUCUGCCCAGUCUGUACCAGAGGGCAAAGAGCUGGAGAGCAGAAGACAGUAUCACCUCAGUGUGUCAUGAUGCAUACGAGACCGACUGCUCUGCUUGCCCUCCUGAUCAACGUGCCCUCUACGAAACAGACAUUUCUGUGGUGUCCUGACAUAUAUAGGCCAGAAUGUGUUUAGUGCAUGUCAUGCUAAAGUGUACCCACAGGUGUUCCAGCAAAGCUGUGUGUACGAUCUCUUCUUCAAUUACGGAGACCGAAAACUUCUCUGUCAGGCUCUGGAGACAUACGUCCAACAGUGUCUUCAAGAGGGUGUCGUUAUUACAGAUUGGAGAGAAAGAUUUAAUUGAUCUAUGAGUUGCCCACCCAACAGUCAUUAUGAGGCCUGUCCGUCUUCGUGUCCAGCAACGUGUCCAUACCCAAAUCAGCAGCCGAAUUGCACUGAUACCUGUGUGGAAGCCUAUUAUGCAUGUGAUAGAGCUGGAGGAGGGUUGGUGAAUUUUUCUGUGUACACACAGAAUGAGCAGGUUAGAAACACAAGGGUUUCGAACAUCAAGAAUUUGACUGUGACCAUCUACAACCUGAUAAUGAGCAUCAGACGAGGUGAACUCUCGAGAGUCGUCGUAAGUCUUCAUCUAGUUUGGCCUUGUUUUUGUUUUCUGUCUUCUUAUUUAGCCAGAAUGCACUGAAAUUGACAAAAAUGGACAGUAAAGUAUAAUGUCGUUGUGGAAGGUUUCCAUUACAGAUAAAUGCUGUGUUUCUU